UGGGGAAUAUUGCACAAUGGACGGAAGUCUGAUGCAGCAACGCCGCGUGCGGGAUGACGGCCUUCGGGUUGUAAACCGCUUUUUCUCAUGACGAAGUUUUUUGACGGUAGUGGGGGAAGAAGCACCGGCUAACUACGUGCCAGCAGCCGCGGUGAUACGUAGGGUGCGAGCGUUGUCCGGAAUUAUUGGGCGUAAAGAGCUUGUAGGCGGUUUGUCGCGUCGAUAGUGCAAACUCAGUGCUUAACGCUGAGCCUGCUGUUGAUACGGGCAGACUAGAGGAAGGUAGGGGAGAAUGGAAUUCCCGGUGGAGCGGUGGAAUGCGCGGAUAUCGGGAGGAACACCGGUGGCGAAGGCGGUUCUCUGGGCCUUUCCUGACGCUUAGAAGCGAAAGCGUGGGGAGCGAACAGG
RNAcentral lists this ribosomal RNA (408 nucleotides) under Fusobacteriota bacterium. RNAcentral's name for it is "Fusobacteria bacterium partial 16S ribosomal RNA". It matches the Rfam family "Bacterial small subunit ribosomal RNA", at positions 355 to 776 of the family's 1533-position model. Lineage: Bacteria; Fusobacteriati; Fusobacteriota. The record is from RNAcentral.